Molecule: ribosomal RNA, 1687 nt
Filed under: Klebsiella pneumoniae
Lineage: Bacteria; Pseudomonadati; Pseudomonadota; Gammaproteobacteria; Enterobacterales; Enterobacteriaceae
Description: partial 23S ribosomal RNA
Rfam family: Bacterial large subunit ribosomal RNA
Source: RNAcentral
UGCUGGAGGUAUCAGAAGUGCGAAUGCUGACAUAAGUAACGAUAAAGCGGGUGAAAAGCCCGCUCGCCGGAAGACCAAGGGUUCCUGUCCAACGUUAAUCGGGGCAGGGUGAGUCGACCCCUAAGGCGAGGCCGAAAGGCGUAGUCGAUGGGAAACAGGUUAAUAUUCCUGUACUUGGUGUUACUGCGAAGGGGGGACGGAGAAGGCUAUGUUAGCCGGGCGACGGUUGUCCCGGUUUAAGCAUGUAGGCUGGUUGUCCAGGCAAAUCCGGAUAAUCAAGGCUGAGGUGUGAUGACGAGGUACUACGGUGCUGAAGUAACAAAUGCCCUGCUUCCAGGAAAAGCCUCUAAGCAUCAGGUAACAUCAAAUCGUACCCCAAACCGACACAGGUGGUCAGGUAGAGAAUACCAAGGCGCUUGAGAGAACUCGGGUGAAGGAACUAGGCAAAAUGGUGCCGUAACUUCGGGAGAAGGCACGCUGGUGUGUAGGUGAAGUCCCUGCGGAUGGAGCUGAGACCAGUCGAAGAUACCAGCUGGCUGCAACUGUUUAUUAAAAACACAGCACUGUGCAAACACGAAAGUGGACGUAUACGGUGUGACGCCUGCCCGGUGCCGGAAGGUUAAUUGAUGGGGUUAUCCGUAAGGAGAAGCUCUUGAUCGAAGCCCCGGUAAACGGCGGCCGUAACUAUAACGGUCCUAAGGUAGCGAAAUUCCUUGUCGGGUAAGUUCCGACCUGCACGAAUGGCGUAAUGAUGGCCAGGCUGUCUCCACCCGAGACUCAGUGAAAUUGAACUCGCUGUGAAGAUGCAGUGUACCCGCGGCAAGACGGAAAGACCCCGUGAACCUUUACUAUAGCUUGACACUGAACAUUGAGCCUUGAUGUGUAGGAUAGGUGGGAGGCUUUGAAGCGUGGACGCCAGUCUGCGUGGAGCCAACCUUGAAAUACCACCCUUUAAUGUUUGAUGUUCUAACGUUGGCCCCUGACCGGGGUUGCGGACAGUGUCUGGUGGGUAGUUUGACUGGGGCGGUCUCCUCCCAAAGCGUAACGGAGGAGCACGAAGGUUAGCUAAUCCUGGUCGGACAUCAGGAGGUUAGUGCAAUGGCAUAAGCUAGCUUGACUGCGAGCGUGACGGCGCGAGCAGGUGCGAAAGCAGGUCAUAGUGAUCCGGUGGUUCUGAAUGGAAGGGCCAUCGCUCAACGGAUAAAAGGUACUCCGGGGAUAACAGGCUGAUACCGCCCAAGAGUUCAUAUCGACGGCGGUGUUUGGCACCUCGAUGUCGGCUCAUCACAUCCUGGGGCUGAAGUAGGUCCCAAGGGUAUGGCUGUUCGCCAUUUAAAGUGGUACGCGAGCUGGGUUUAGAACGUCGUGAGACAGUUCGGUCCCUAUCUGCCGUGGGCGCUGGAGAAUUGAGGGGGGCUGCUCCUAGUACGAGAGGACCGGAGUGGACGCAUCACUGGUGUUCGGGUUGUCAUGCCAAUGGCACUGCCCGGUAGCUAAAUGCGGAAGAGAUAAGUGCUGAAAGCAUCUAAGCACGAAACUUGCCCCGAGAUGAGUUCUCCCUGAGACUUUAAGUCUCCUGAAGGAACGUUGAAGACGACGACGUUGAUAGGCCGGGUGUGUAAGCGCAGCGAUGCGUUGAGCUAACCGGUACUAAUGAACCGUGAGGCUUAACCUUACAACGCCGAAG